GGCGGGGCCGGGCGCGGGCGGAGCGGGGGCGGGUUGGAGGGGCGGAAGGGCAGCGCCCUGGACAGGGCAGGGCGGGAUCAGGACGUGUGGACCUGACCGGGUGGCCUGAGGGCAGAGCGAGGGGGGAAGACCGGGGCGGGGCGGGGACAGGCCUGGGAGGGGGGGAGUGGGCAGCCGACUGGGGGCGGGCCAGAGCCGGGGAAGGGGCCGGUCACCCUUGGCCAGAAAAAGGGCAGUGACCGCGGGGCACACCGGGCGGGGGCUGGGCCUGCAGGUGGCGGCUGGGGCGGGGGCUGGGGCGGGAGGUGGGGGUCGCGUCCCAUCCCUGUGCACCCUCCGGGAUUCUACCCCGGGGAACUGGACGCAGCAGGUCUCGGGAGUCUCAGCUGCUCUGGAGCGAGUGGCAGGGAGUGGCGGAGUCGCUGGGACAGCACCCAGGACUGAUAAAACUUCAGGAUUUGAAUGCAGGGGUGGGCCCCAGAAGAAGAGACAGACUCCGCAAAGUGUUUGUUUUCCUCCCCAAGGAGCAAACCAGCAUUUUGGAGCCUUUAGCUCACAGCGUUUAGAAUGGACUUGGAGACGCCCAGGUAUACCCUGGGGGACCUAGUGAAAAGCGGUAUUAUUGUGGGUUUUAUCUUAAAGAAGGAAGUUCGCCCUGCCUUGCUUUCUGUUUAUAGAGUUGAGGAACUUCUGCCUUCCCUUAUUUGUAACCCCUGGAAGGGAUCUGGCCACUCCUUAGGUGCAGUGGUGUGCGUGCUGGGCCGACGCGGCCUCGAGAGGGCAAGCUUCGCAAAUUCAACUCCGCUGGACGGCGACCGCGAAUGUCCUGCAGCUCACGACCGGUCGACCAGCGAGGCCCUGCAGCCCAGACUGCAGGCUCUGCACAGGGGCCCAGUGGGUGUGGCUUUGGCACCCUGAAUGAGUCAGGAGGAAGUCCAGGGGCUGCAGGUUUUCUGCAUACUGUUCAUGUGUGUCAGUGGCUGUGUCAGCCUGGGCUCUCCAGAGCAAGAAAACCGACAAGAGGUGUGUGCAUGUGUGUAAACAUGAAGAGAUUUGUUAUAGGGCUUGGCUCACAUCACCAUGGGGAUUGGCAAGUCCAACUCCACGGGGCAGGCCACAAGUUGGAGACUCGAUGCAGGUGACAGUGAAUUCCCCAGAAGAAGCUGGAUGCCUGGAGCAGAGAUGGGAAUUUUUCUUUCCAGAGGCUGAAAUCCUCGGUUCGCCCUCGAAGACCUCCAUCUGCUGGGACAAGACGUGGCCCUGCCGAAGGCUAGCUCCUUCCCUGAGGACGUCACCUGCCUUACUGCCAUCGACUACUGAUGACCUAAGUCCACGGAAUGCCCUCACAGUGACCAAGCCAACCGGCACAGGUGGGGCACAGGUAAAUGCCCACCCCUUGCCUCUUUGAUAACAGAACACACCUCCACACUGAACCAAGAUGCUCGGAGCAGCCACUGGCUGCCUUAGUUGCCAGGGCUGCUGUAACAAGCACCACUGACUAGUCAGCUGAAGCAGCAGAAGUGAACUGCCCCGUGGUUCGAGGCCAGGAGCCUGUCUCGCGGUGUGACGCGUAGCAGAGCCGUGCUUCCUUCUGGAAGAUUCUCCUCUGGCUCGCGGUGGGAGCGGGCAGUCCGGAUGCUCCUCGGCUCUGGCGGCACAGCGGGGUCUCUGCCUUGCCCCACGCUGCCUUUCACUGUCUGUGUCUGUUUCUCUUGCUCUGAUGAAAUUUCUUCUGCUUACGGAAGUCCAGUUGUGCUGGUCUAGUGCCCACCUUCAUCCUAUUCGGCCUCAUCUUAACCAAUACUGUUUUCAAAGGCUCUGCUUGAAAAUAAGGUCACACUUGCAGGACGAGAGGUUAAAUCCACGGCAAGGUCCAUCUGUUCCGUUCCUUUCUUCCAGCAGCGAUGCGCUGACCUGUUAGUUGAGGGCCUUUCCUUUUCCAGGAAUGGUUCCAGUUGAGCAUAAAUGCUAAACCCAACCCCACGGUGUUCUUGCGCUCUUGGGCUGCAGGUGUCAGGUGGGGCCGUUACACUUCAGUGACAAACAAGCCCCAAACGGCGCUGGUGCAACCUGGCAAGGGGAUCCUCUGUGCAAGCAGAUGGAUAAGGGUCCACAGCAGCCACGCAAUGCUGGGGAUCCACCCAGGGCAGCCAUCAGCCACGCGAAGCAGGGCGUCCACCCAGGUCGCUUCUCAGAGGGGCAUCCACCUUAUCUGCACCCGAGGACAUUGGCAUAGUCACGAGAGGACUGGAGCAUCUGCAUCAGCAGGUGAAUGCCUUGCCUGAGUAGCAUGUGACCCGUAUUCACACAUCACCUGUGUCCACAGUCACCUGUUUUCACAUAUCACCUGUUUUCACACAUCACCUGUAUUCAGUUGUCACCUGUUUUCACACAUCACCUGUAUUCACACUCCUGUAGGCCUGGGGGAUAGGGACAUAUAAGCCCCUGUGCACCUGGGAGGAGAGGAAACCAGAUGUAGGGCAUUGGAUGGGACUACUGUCCCUGGAGGGCUUAGACGGACGUGUGCAAGUACACGUACUUCAUGGACAACUGGGCUCUCCCCAGUGGCUUCACGGCCCUUACAGACAACAGGACGGCUCUGAGACAGGUGCGGGUGGCGAAGGUUAGGGAACGCGAGCUCCCCGCCGGAUGUGUUUCAGCGUGAACCUGGCUCCCCCACUGCACCGCUAUUGGCAUUUGGGCCUGAUGACCCUUCAUCGUAGGGGAUGUUCUCUGCACUGUAGGAGCCGAGCAGUGGCCGUGGCCGCUCCCGCAGAUGCUGGGAGCAUCCCACCCUAGUUGUGAAAGUCCAAGGUGCCAAGUGUCCUUGGGGCAAAAUCUGCCCCCCCCACCACAAGGAGUGCCACUGGCUUGAACUAUUCACCAUGUCAUUUUCAACCCAACUAGACUUGCACAGGAUUAUGUGCAUUCACAAAUGCUUCAUCAUAUUCAGCACUUUACACAACCCUGUCUCAAUAAUAAAGUGGGCGGAUGGAAGAGGCAAUGCUAUAUUUAAUGUGAGGAAAUGAGCUCAAAGAGGCUGAGGUCACGGCCACCUCGGCAGGUGAGCCAAGGCAGAAGCCCACCCAGGUCCCCCUUCAGAGUCACUAGCCACUUGCCGAGGGUCUGCAGGAGCCUCGUGAAGAGAAACUGCUCCAGGUACUGGCCGGGGGUUGACUGGACCUUCAUGGACCAGUGCUGCUGAGCUGUGGAAGACACUGUGAUAAAAGAUUUGGUGCUUGCUCUCAAGAGACUCACAGCAUGGUGACUAAAGAGACAAAUUUAGAAAAAGUUCCAUCCUAGAUAAUUAAUCAGCACUCUGAUAGAAGGCUUACCAUACUUCAGAGGGAGGUAUUUCCCACAUAUCUUCCAGAAAAGCAACAGAAACUCCAGGAUAAAAAGGAGGAAAAAUGGGAAGCCAUGCAAUGAAGAAGAUGCUGGAUUUUAUUUCUGCAUCACCAUGUAAAAACUGCAGUAAAAUACCAAGAACUAUAGGGUAGAGCAAGAAGGAAGAGAAGAAUGAGAUUUGAGCUGUGAGUGAGCAGAUCCUGAAAAUGGCCCUUAGCCUGAACCUGCAGAGACCUGCAUGGGCUGCGUGUUUGCAAGACACAGGCCACCCCUCACCUAAUGGGUGACAGCGACUGCACCCAAUGAAAAGGGGAAAUUCCACUUCAUAAAGUCAUUUACAAUGAAAACAUAAGCUAAACGCUCUGUCCCUAAAGCAUAAAAAGCAACAAAUGAGUAUGAACAGGUCUUGCGGAAGCAUCUUUCAUAUCUACAUCUGUAUCUGUAGAGGUGAAGGUAUGUGUAUGAUGAGCAAUGGGAUGGUGUAGUAGUCAGGGUUCUCUAGGGAAACGGAAUCCACAGGAGAUACCUGUCAGUAGUAAGCAAUUUCAUCAGAGUCACUCACGUGACCGUGGGAUGCACAAGUCCAGGUUCCGCAGGCAGCUGCAGCCAGGGCUCCAGUGAAAGUCCAGCGAAGGCUUGAUGAGUUCUGGGAAAUGCGGCUGUCCAAAGACAAGCCGGGAAUUUCUCACUCUAAGCUGGAAUCAUUUCCAUUUUAAGGCAGUCAACUGAUUGGAUAAAGCAUCACUCACUACUGAUGGCAAUCUCCCUAAUUGAUGUAAUUAUAACCAGCUGUCUAUGAUUUACCACCGCAGUAAAGUCAAUGGUGACUAAAGUCCAUAAAUGCCCUGUAUUACAGUUAGCCCAGGGCUUGCUUGACCACACAACUGUCACAAUUACUUGGCCGAGCUGACACAGUAGCCUAGCCAUCACCUGUCUUUGUUCAGCGCCUGCUUCCACACUCAACGCGCAGCCCAUUUGUGUACCUUUUGAACCGUCGUCACUUGGAAC
RNAcentral lists this long non-coding RNA (4356 nucleotides) under Dasypus novemcinctus (nine-banded armadillo). RNAcentral's name for it is "lncRNA (ENSDNOG00000050445.1)". The record is from RNAcentral. Lineage: Eukaryota; Metazoa; Chordata; Mammalia; Cingulata; Dasypodidae.